UGGAACUGGGAAUUAAGAUGAAUAGCUUCUGCCUCUUCGUGAAAACUCUCUCUUCUAUUACCUUGGCUAAGUUCAAGAUUGCUGACUUCUCCAGGACCUGGGAGGCUAAGCGAGCCAUCUGUUGCCUUUUCUUGCAGGAAUCCAUAGCCUUUCAGAUGUGAAAUAUCAAAUUCCUGGUUCCAAUUCAUUAGAGGAAGAGGAGUGCUUGAACAGAGAAGAGUCAUUGGGACCCUGAAGCACAGUGGUGAAGUGUUGGGAUGAUUAGCACUUGAAGGAGAUGGAACCACCAACAGGAUGCUGGAAGAUCAAGAUAUGGCUUAUCAGACUCUCACCGACUGCCCUCACCCAAGAAGGAACAGUCAAUAAUUCAACUCCAACAGUGAGAAGAAUCAUGAAAAUGGCCUUUGAACCAUGAGUUACAAUCAGCUACUGAGAAUUUCAGAAAAGAUCCCAAGUUAAGGGAGGCAAGAAGUCCCUCUUCAAGUUGGAUCAGUUACAUUAAAAUCUGGUUUUUCACUUUGAAAGAAAAGAUGGCCCAUUCCAAUCCCUCUUCUAGUUGUUGAAAGGAGAAAAGAUUCUGGGAAGAAGCCAUGUAUAUCUUCUGUAUUUUCCUUAUUCUCAGCUACUACACUAGAGAUUUCCAGGAAUCUCCUCUUGGAUGAAAUCUAACACUCUUUCUUUUGACUGAACUGAGUUACCUCUCAGUGGGAGAACUCCUUCCCUCCAUAUUGUCUGGUGAAGAAACACAGAGCCCAUAGAAGUUAAACUAUUCAUCCAGUGUUGCACAGAUAAAGAGCCUGACUUUCAAUUCAUCUCUUUUGAUAAUCUGUGGUCAGAGAUGGGCACCCUGCAGUUCUUCUGACUUCUUACCCUGUGCUCUUCACUGGUACAUUGCCUCUUCCUACUGAAUCACAAGUAAAAUUCCAAGUUUCAUCAAUGUUCUUAAUUAAGUCUCAGUCUCUUAAUUCAUGCAUAUAAAAUAAAAUGAAUUGAUUAAAGCAACUCAGUGAAAUAUUUUCAUUCCUAAUGUUCAGGACCUAUCUUGCACAUAAAUAGAUAAGAAAGUCGAGAGCACAAACUAGUUACAAAAGUGCAGGGAGUGGCCAGAAUGGAAAGAACAAAGACUUUGGAAUUAUACUAGAAAAAUGCACCAUAGCUAAUUAUACUUAAAAAGUCCCCUUUCAUACUGUGAACUUGGAAAUUACUCCACCCUAAUUAGACAUACUUGAGAGGAAGA
Monodelphis domestica (gray short-tailed opossum) is the source of this 1237-nucleotide long non-coding RNA. RefSeq lists it as uncharacterized. Lineage: Eukaryota; Metazoa; Chordata; Mammalia; Didelphimorphia; Didelphidae. The record is from RefSeq and is a predicted model, not a curated record.